AACGCUGGCGGCAGGCUUAACACAUGCAAGUCGAACGAGAAGCUUACUUCGGUAAGUGGAAAGUGGCAGACGGGUGAGUAACGCGUGGCAACCUACCUUUUUCUACGGAACAACAGUUGGAAACGACUGCUAAUACCGUAUACGCCCUCCGGGGGAAAGAUUUAUCGGUGAAAGAUGGGGCCGCGUUAGAUUAGCUAGUUGGUGAGGUAAUGGCUCACCAAGGCGACGAUCUAUAGCUGGUCUGAGAGGAUGAUCAGCCACACUGGGACUGAGACACGGCCCAGACAACUACGGUUGGCAGCAGUGGGGAAUAUUGGACAAUGGGGGCAACCCUGAUCCAGCCAUGCCGCGUGAAUGAUGAAGGCCUUAGGGUUGUAAAAUUCUUUCGCUAGGGAUGAUAAUGACAGUACCUAGUAAA
This 418-nucleotide ribosomal RNA is filed under the name uncultured bacterium. RNAcentral describes it as "bacterial SSU rRNA". It matches the Rfam family "Bacterial small subunit ribosomal RNA", at positions 32 to 486 of the family's 1533-position model. The record is from RNAcentral.